UUGACAAAAAAGAAGGUGGGGAAAGACCCGAAAGAAUUCAGGUGUGUCUGACUUGCGGUUAGAACUACCCACUGAAAUGCAUAGAAUUGUAUAAAAUAUUGUAUAGAAGAAAAGAGGCUGUAUCAAACUACCGAUAUUUAAUAUUUUUUUUUAAUUUUGCAAGAUUCGUACAUAUACAAUAUUUUAAUACUAGUGUUUCCAAAGAUGGUUUAUUCAAGUUUUUCAUGGCAAUGCAGUGUUGGUGAUACAGAAUGAGACUUGAGUUUAAAAUAUGUCUGCCUUGAGCAAGUGCAGGUCUGUGUCCCUCCUGACCGAAUCAUCUGACGAGCAUAAACAAAUAACCACUAAACCUACUGCUGCCCCUCGUCAGCGGAGUCCAAUGACAUAUCUAGCCCUUUAUCAUUCAUUACACAAUACAACUGAGAUCGGCUGUUUUAAUAACGGUGUGUGGAUUUGUGGGGGGUCGUCAGAAGGCAGGGUCAGGACACAAGCUGCCAUGAAAACUUAUUGGUGUUCCUUAAAAAGAAAAAGCAACAAAUCCAACAUUUGGAACAGACGGCAUCUUGAGGAGAGAAGAAGAAAGUCAAUAAGAAAUAAAACUAACCCAGUGGACUCAGUAAAGCCAAGAGGGCAGAAAUGACGUCUAAUGUUGAAACCGAGGAUGAGACCAUCAGUGGAAAGUCAGGAAACCCUCACGCUUUGAAAGUGACAGGGAAAGACCAGACCUUGACCACGAUGAAGACGAUUCGGACAGCUUGGUGUCAAAAAUAAGUCAAUAAGAAACCAACCUGCACCCCCCAGCAUCAACGCCACGAGCGCCUCAGUGUAAACACGGAACAUGAUGCGUUUCAUCUAGAUUGUUGCUGUGUGAAUCGCAUCCUGAAGGGAAAACAUUGGAGUUCACUUUGAGUGUCUUAUCUGAUGAUAAAUUAUAAGACGCUAUUGCAAUCUCUAUUUGGUUUGGAAGGAAUACCAAGGUUGCAGAUAUCGUAAAGUACAGAUCAUUUUGUGUACGUGGACGGCGGCUUCCAUGUUUCCCUGUUUAGAAUUCAGGAAGUACUCAAAUGUUAAGAUCGGUAUCUCUUCAUCAAAGGAGUCCUGCCUCAGAGAGACCACGGCAUGCAGUUAAAACACAAUGAAGCAGCAUGUUUUGAUGCAGGAGUGGCUAACGAUUGCUCAACAUGCUUGCAUUUCCUUUACAUAUUGAAUUCUGUUGGCAAAUCUUGUGCGUAGCCUCUUGAGUGGGUAAUACAGGGAACGAAGGCAUUGUAUUAUCUUGUAAAUGGUGUAGACUGAUUUGGCCUUUGCUUGUGUUUGAAAACCAUUUUUUUCUGUCUGAAAGGUGAGAUAUUGGUAUAUUGGUAGUGAUGGAGUUUUUUUCUUUGGUGUAGUACACCUCUUGGUGAUUCGAGUGUCCUAGUACGCAGAAGCAGGUCACCUCAGUGAACUCCAAGCAUGAGGCUAUGCAGUUUGUCACCCACAAACAGAACCGUUACAAAUUUACUGAGCUUACUCCCGUGUUGACUCAGGAGAGACGCAGACAGGCGUGCACGUCCUCCGAAGCGUGUGCCGUCAGCCAGCCUGUCUUCGUACUGCGAGUCGACAGCGAAGCCAGCCAGACCGUUCGUGUCACAGGAAACGAAGUUCUGCUGACAACUCAGCCAACCUGCAGGCGCCCGGGCCGGCACAGGAGGCGCUGGUGAGCGACGAGACAAGGAUUACCCGGCUGACUUCAAUCCUUCCCACCCAGCCUAGGAGGCGAUGGCACAGCCUGGAUUGGAACCAGCGAUCGCCACACAGGGAGCUCCCUGCAAUUCAGCUUCUCCAACACCACUACUGAUUUGUAGCAGGAAAAGGUCAAGGGGCUUGCGUUUACCGUCUGCUUGUAUCCUUGAGAUCAUUUCUCCAGUGAGUGAGAGGUACAAGUUUCACACCCACCACACGGCAAAUCAAUGUGCUGAAAGUCCAAACGUCUUGUGUGGUGAAGAAGGAGGAGGGAGUUUAGCUGCCUGUCAACCUUGAGCAAGGACGACACUCUUGGGAUGACAGAACAGCGCUCCUAAUGAGAGUGAGGUCAUCGCUUUACACGUGGUGCGGCACAUCUCCACUCUGGCACGCACUUGCCAAUUCUUCCUGAGCAACAUCCGAAGAAUCCGACCCUUCCUCACCAACUAUGCUACCCAGUUCCUGGUCCAGGCCCUGGUACUCUCCCGCCUAGACUACUGCAACUCCCUCCUGGCUGGCCUCCCUGCGUCCGCCACCCGUCCGCUCCAGCUCAUCCAGAACUCUGCUGCCCGCCUGGUGUUCUCUCUGCCUCGCUUCGCCCACGCUACUCCACUACUCCGCUCGCUCCACUGGCUCCCGAUCACCGCUCGCAUCCAGUUCAAGACUCUUGUACUAGCCUACAGAUGUCUUGACCAGACUGAACCCAGCUACCUCCAGACCCUCAUCUCUCCCUACACCCCCACUCGACUUCUCCGCUCCGCCUGCACUAGAAGACUGGCUCUACCUCCGCUACGCUCCCCUGCCGCCAGAGCCCGCUCCUUCUCCACCCUUGCUUCGCACUGGUGGAACGACCUUCCUACUGAUGUCAGGACUGCCCAGUCCCUGACCACAUUCCGGCGCCUCCUUAAGACUCAUCUCUUCAGACAGCGCCUGUAGAACUCCUCUGUUUGUAUCCUGGGACACUAUCACCCUUCAUUUAGAUGUGCUUUAUUUUGCUCUUAUCUGCCCCCUAUUUUACUGCUCUUAAUCCUGUACUUCAGAAUACUGUAAUCUGCCAAGUGUUUAACCUGUAGUACUUUGUAUUAAUCACAUCCUGAUGUAACUGUCACUAUUUAAUCAUAUCCUGAUGUAACUAUCACUAUUAUCUGCUGUAUUAUUGAAUUGUGGUUUGUCACACUUGUACUUUGCUUGAACAAAGUUAUUGUAUUUCUUGCUCUUAUUUUAUUACUUGUAUUGUAACACUUGAAAUGUAUUUGCUUACGAUUGUAAGUCGCCCUGGAUAAGGGCGUCUGCUAAGAA
Acipenser ruthenus (sterlet) is the source of this 3024-nucleotide long non-coding RNA. RefSeq lists it as uncharacterized. The transcript is spliced from 8 exons. The record is from RefSeq and is a predicted model, not a curated record. Lineage: Eukaryota; Metazoa; Chordata; Actinopteri; Acipenseriformes; Acipenseridae.